Molecule: long non-coding RNA, 798 nt
Filed under: Aotus nancymaae (Ma's night monkey)
Lineage: Eukaryota; Metazoa; Chordata; Mammalia; Primates; Aotidae
Description: lncRNA (ENSANAG00000039171.1)
Source: RNAcentral
CGAUUUCAGCGGGAUUAAGUCCAGGAAAUGAACAAAUCUGACGAACCAGGGAGGCAGGUGAAGGGGUCACCAGGAUCUUUGGGCCUUACUGAGUACUCAGGUGAAAAGUUUAUAAUCGGGAAGCAAGUAAAGAACCUUUGAAGACUUGUAUAAUUGGAUACGUUGGCGCAGUUCUUCAGCUUUUCAAGAAGACAUUCCGACUCUCUUGCCUACGUGGCACAGGGGCCUGGGAGCCACCCUGCGAGGAAGACGCAGGCCAAGGUCUUGCCGGGCUACUUCUAGAGGGGAAGAUGUAAGGAGGAAGCUGCCUUAUACUUGGAUUCUGCAGCCUUUAUAUGGACCUGUGGAGCCUGUGUGGCCAGAAUGAGGGAGACAGAAAUUAGAACCCAAUGUAUAAUGUAUUCAGUGCCUGAAUUUCAGCCACAUCCCUAAGCUGCCAUCUCAGACAGAGGAACAGGGAGGGGGCUGGAAAGAGCAUCACCUGGAAGAAGUCAGAACGUGACUGUGGGCCAUGAGUGACCUUCAAAGGAAAGCUGGGUAUCUGUGGUCUUUAAGAUGAUGUGAUAAGAUUGUAUUAAAAUUAUAGAAAAACCUCAAUCCCAAAAUUGUGGUCUCUUGACAUUUACAUCUUAACUGGAUUUUCCUGCCAAAGAGCCAGGAGACACGUUACAAUCAUCCUCCGCGAGUGUUCUCUUUAUACCCUGUUUUCAUUCUUUUAGAUCCAUGGCAUUUAAGAACUGAAGCAAUGAAUAGAUUAUCUGAUCAGUCCCAUCAGGCGUUUUCCUAAUGCUAAAAUUG